AGCAGCCGCGGUAAUUCCAGCUCCAAUAGCGUAUAUUAAAGUUGUUGCAGUUAAAAAGCUCGUAGUUGAAUUUCGGGAUCAAUAUGUCGGUCGUGCCUCGGUACGUACUGGCAUCAUUGGUUUCUCCCUUCUGAUGAACCAUGAUGCCAUUAAUUUGGUGUCGUGGGGAAUCAGGACUGUUACUUUGAAAAAUUAGAGUGUUUAAAGCAGGCUCACGCUUGAAUACAUUAGCAUGGAAUAAUGAAAUAGGACGUUUGAUUCUAUUUUGUUGGUUUCUAGGAUCGACGUAAUGAUUAAUAGGGAUAGUUGGGGGCAUUAGUAUUCAAUUGUCAGAGGUGAAAUUCUUGGAUUUAUUGAAGACUAACUACUGCGAAAGCAUUUGCCAAGGAUGUUUUCAUUAAUC
This 403-nucleotide ribosomal RNA is filed under the name uncultured Glomus. RNAcentral's name for it is "SSU rRNA". It matches the Rfam family "Eukaryotic small subunit ribosomal RNA", at positions 569 to 978 of the family's 1831-position model. Lineage: Eukaryota; Fungi; Glomeromycota; Glomeromycetes; Glomerales; Glomeraceae. The record is from RNAcentral.